This 422-nucleotide ribosomal RNA is filed under the name uncultured bacterium. Its description in RNAcentral is "bacterial SSU rRNA". It matches the Rfam family "Bacterial small subunit ribosomal RNA", at positions 362 to 776 of the family's 1533-position model. The record is from RNAcentral.
UAUUGGACAAUGGUGGGAACCCUGAUCCAGCGAUGCCGCGUGUGUGAAGAAGGCCUGCGGGUUGUAAAGCACUUUAGUUAGGGAAGAGAGUUGAUUGGUUAAGAGCUGAUUGAUGAGACGGUACCUAAAGAAUAAGCACCGGCUAACUCCGUGCCAGCAGCCGCGGUAAUACGGAGGGUGCGAGCGUUAAUCGGAAUUAUUGGGCGUAAAGGGUGCGUAGGUGGUUGAAUAAGUUAUGUGUGAAAUUCCUGGGCUUAACCUGGGGUGGUCAGAUAAGACUGUUCGACUCGAGUAUGGGAGAGGGUAGUGGAAUUUCCGGUGUAGCGGUGAAAUGCGUAGAGAUCGGAAGGAACACCGGUGGCGAAGGCGGCUACCUGGCCUAAUACUGACACUGAGGCACGAAAGCGUGGGGAGCAAACAGG